Molecule: ribosomal RNA, 256 nt
Filed under: uncultured bacterium
Lineage: Bacteria
Description: partial 16S ribosomal RNA
Rfam family: Bacterial small subunit ribosomal RNA
Source: RNAcentral
UAAUACGUAGGUGGCAAGCGUUGUCCGGAAUCAUUGGGCGUAAAGAGCGCGUAGGUGGCUUGUCAGGUCUGGUGUGAAAUUUCGGGGCUCAACCCCGAACCUGCAUCGGAAACCGGCUUGCUAGAGUCUGGGAGAGGAGAGUGGAAUUCCUGGUGUAGCGGUGAAAUGCGUAGAUAUCAGGAGGAACACCGGUAGCGAAGGCGGCUCUCUGGAACAGUACUGACGCUGAGGCGCGAAAGCUAGGGGAGCGAACAGG